CCUACGGCGUGCAGCAGUGAGGAAUAUUGGUCAAUGGGCGCGAGCCUGAACCAGCCAAGUAGCGUGAAGGAUGACUGCCCUACGGGUUGUAAACUUCUUUUAUAAAGGACUAAAGUGAGGCACGUGUGCCUUUUUGUAUGUCCUUUAUGAAUAAGGAUCGGCUAACUCCGUGCAAGCGGCCGCGGUAAAAGGGAGGAGCCGAGCGUUAUCCGGUUUUAUUGGGUUUAAAGGGAGCGUAGAUGGGUGGUUAAGUCAGUGUUGAAAGUUUGCGGUUCAACCGGUAAAGUGCAAUUGAUACUGGCUGGCUUGAGUGCAGAUGCGGUAGGCGGAAUGCGUGGUGUAGCGGUGAAAUGCUUAGAUAUCACGCAGAACUCCGAUUGCGAAGGCAGCUUACUAAACUGCCACUGACACUGAUGCUCGAAAGUGUGGGUAUCAAACAGGAUUAGAUACCCCAGUAGUC
Molecule: ribosomal RNA, 460 nt
Filed under: uncultured bacterium
Lineage: Bacteria
Description: partial 16S ribosomal RNA
Rfam family: Bacterial small subunit ribosomal RNA
Source: RNAcentral